This 559-nucleotide ribosomal RNA is filed under the name Streptomyces sp. 303G02. RNAcentral describes it as "bacterial SSU rRNA". It matches the Rfam family "Bacterial small subunit ribosomal RNA", at positions 93 to 666 of the family's 1533-position model. The record is from RNAcentral. Lineage: Bacteria; Bacillati; Actinomycetota; Actinomycetes; Kitasatosporales; Streptomycetaceae.
CAGUGGCGAACGGGUGAGUAACACGUGGGCAAUCUGCCCUGCACUCUGGGACAAGCCCUGGAAACGGGGUCUAAUACCGGAUACGACCUUCCCCUGCAUGGGGGUUGGUGGAAAGCUCCGGCGGUGCAGGAUGAGCCCGCGGCCUAUCAGCUUGUUGGUGGGGUAAUGGCCUACCAAGGCGACGACGGGUAGCCGGCCUGAGAGGGCGACCGGCCACACUGGGACUGAGACACGGCCCAGACUCCUACGGGAGGCAGCAGUGGGGAAUAUUGCACAAUGGGCGAAAGCCUGAUGCAGCGACGCCGCGUGAGGGAUGACGGCCUUCGGGUUGUAAACCUCUUUCAGCAGGGAAGAAGCGAAAGUGACGGUACCUGCAGAAGAAGCACCGGCUAACUACGUGCCAGCAGCCGCGGUAAUACGUAGGGUGCGAGCGUUGUCCGGAAUUAUUGGGCGUAAAGAGCUCGUAGGCGGCCUGUCACGUCGGUUGUGAAAGCCCGGGGCUUAACCCCGGGUCUGCAGUCGAUACGGGCAGGCUAGAGUUCGGUAGGGGAGAUCGGAA